Molecule: ribosomal RNA, 497 nt
Filed under: uncultured bacterium
Lineage: Bacteria
Description: partial 16S ribosomal RNA
Rfam family: Bacterial small subunit ribosomal RNA
Source: RNAcentral
GAUGAACGCUGGCGGCGUGCCUAAUACAUGCAAGUCGAGCGAACGGACGAGAAGCUUGCUUCUCUGAUGUUAGCGGCGGACGGGUGAGUAACACGUGGAUAACCUACCUAUAAGACUGGGAUAACUUCGGGAAACCGGAGCUAAUACCGGAUGAUAUUUUGAACCGCAUGGUUCAAAAGUGAAAGACGGUCUUGCUGUCACUUAUAGAUGGAUCCGCGCUGCAUUAGCUAGUUGGUAAGGUAACGGCUUACCAAGGCAACGAUGCAUAGCCGACCUGAGAGGGUGAUCGGCCACACUGGAACUGAGACACGGUCCAGACUCCUACGGGAGGCAGUAGUAGGGAAUCUUCCGCAAUGGGCGGAAGCCUGACGGAGCAACGCCGCGUGAGUGAUGAAGGUCUUCGGAUCGUAAAACUCUGUUAUUAGGGAAGAACAUAUGUGUAAGUAACUGUGCACAUCUUGACGGUACCUAAUCAGAAAGCCACGGCUAACUACGUG